RNAcentral lists this ribosomal RNA (356 nucleotides) under uncultured bacterium. RNAcentral describes it as "bacterial SSU rRNA". It matches the Rfam family "Bacterial small subunit ribosomal RNA", at positions 28 to 406 of the family's 1533-position model. The record is from RNAcentral.
AACGAACGCUGGCGGCAUGCCUAACACAUGCAAGUCGAACGCUCGGGCUUUCGGGUCCGGGAGUGGCGCACGGGUGAGUAACGCGUGGGAACCUGCCCCGGGGUGGGGGAUAACCGGUGGAAACGCCGGCUAAGACCGCAUACGUCCUUUGGGAGAAAGACUUGUCGCCCUGGGAGGGGCCCGCGUCGGAUUAGCUGGUUGGCGGGGUAACGGCCCACCAAGGCGUCGAUCCGUAGCUGGUCUGAGAGGAUGAUCAGCCACACUGGGACUGAGACACGGCCCAGACUCCUACGGGAGGCAGCAGUGGGGAGUAUUGGACAAUGGGGGCAACCCUGAUCCAGCAAUGCCGCGUGAGU